UACAGAGGGGGCAAGCGUUAUUCGGAAUUAUUGGGCGUAAAGGGCGCGUAGGCGGCAUGGCAAGUGGAUGGUGAAAUCCCUCGGCUUAACCGAGGAACUGCCGUCCAAACUGCUUCGCUUGAGACCGGGAGAGGUGAGUGGAAUUCCCAGUGUAGCGGUGAAAUGCGUAGAUAUUGGGAGGAACACCAGUGGCGAAGGCGGCUCACUGGACCGGUACUGACGCUGACUGCGCGAAAGCGUGGGGAGCAAACGGGG
Molecule: ribosomal RNA, 255 nt
Filed under: uncultured bacterium
Lineage: Bacteria
Description: partial 16S ribosomal RNA
Rfam family: Bacterial small subunit ribosomal RNA
Source: RNAcentral